This 614-nucleotide ribosomal RNA is filed under the name uncultured bacterium. RNAcentral describes it as "bacterial SSU rRNA". It matches the Rfam family "Bacterial small subunit ribosomal RNA", at positions 38 to 645 of the family's 1533-position model. The record is from RNAcentral.
GGCGGCGUGCCUAACACAUGCAAGUCGAGCGGUAACAGGUGUAGCAAUACAUGCUGACGAGCGGCGAACGGGUGAGUAAUGCUUUGGAAUCUUCCCAGUAGUGGGGAAUAACCAGUCGAAAGAUUGGCUAAUACCGCAUACGUCUGUAAAGGGAAAGCGGGGGCUCGUAAGACCUCGCGCUAUUGGAUGAGCCAAAGUCGGAUUAGCUAGUUGGUGGGGUAAUGGCCUACCAAGGCGACAAUCCGUAGCUGGUCUGAGAGGACGACCAGCCACACCGGAACUGAGACACGGUCCGGACUCCUACGGGAGGCAGCAGUGGGGAAUAUUGGACAAUGGGGGAAACCCUGAUCCAGCGACGCCGCGUGUGUGAAGAAGGCCUGCGGGUUGUAAAGCACUUUUAGUGGGGACAAAAAGCUACGGAUUAAUACUCUGUGGUCUUGAUUUAACCCAAAGAAAAAGCACCGGCUAACUCUGUGCCAGCAGCCGCGGUAAUACAGAGGGUGCGAGCGUUAAUCGGAAUUACUGGGCGUAAAGCGCGCGUAGACGGUUUUGUAAGUCAGAUGUGAAAUCCCUGGGCUCAACCUGGGAACUGCAUUUGAAACUGCAUGGCUAGA